CUGAAGCUCAACAGCUAGCUCAAACAUACACUUUUAGCCAUCAAAUAUAUACAAAUCCUAAGACAUAAAACAUCUUAGCUAAACCAUUUUACCUCUUUAGUAUGGGAGACAGAAAAAGAAUCAGACGCAAUAGUUAAAGUACCGUAAGGGAAUGCUGAAAAAGAAAUGAAAAAAUCCAGUAAAGCACUAAAAAGCAAAGUUAACCCCUUGUACCUUUUGCAUCAUGUUCUAGCAAGAAUCUUUUAAGCAAAACGUAUUUUAGUUUAAAGCCCCGAAACCAGGUGAGCUACUCCAAGACAGCUUUUACAGGAGCUAACCCGUCUCUGUGGCAAAAGAGUGGGAAGAUCUUUGAGUAGAGGUGAAAGACCUACCGAACCUUGUUAUAGCUGGUUGCCUGAGAAUUGAAUAGUAGUUCAGCCCUUAGCCUUCUCCCAUUCAUCUGUGAUCUACACAUAAGUGAUAAAAGAAAUUUAAGGAGUUAUUCAAAGGAGGAACAGCCCCUUUGAAGUAAGAAACAACUUUUUUAGAAGGGUAAAGAUUAUAAGCCUUAACAUCUAAGGUAACAUAUUUUUGUGGGCCUAAAAGCAGCCAGCAUAAGAGAAAGCGUUAAAGCUCAAAUAUAACAUCUAACCAAUAAUACCAAAAAACCAUCUCAUCCCUCUAACCCAUAUCAGACCUUCCCAUAUUCCUAUGGGAGAGAUAAUGCUAGUAUGAGUAAUCAGAGGGCUUAUCCCUCUCCUAUCACAAGUGUAACCCGGAACGGAUUCACCACCGGAGAUUAAACGAUCUCAAUAAAAGAGAGCACAGGGCUAAAAAAAGAAAACAAGAAAAUCACCCUCCUCCAAUCGUUAGCCCUACACUGGUGUAUUUGUAAGGAAAGACUAAAAGAAAAAGAAGGAACUCGGCAAACAUAUUUAAGCCUCGCCUGUUUACCAAAAACAUCGCCUUUUGAGAGUAAAAAAUAAAAGGUCUCGCCUGCCCUGUGACAUGAGUUUAACGGCCGCGGUAAUUUGACCGUGCGAAGGUAGCGCAAUCACU
This 1038-nucleotide ribosomal RNA is filed under the name Pseudomugil pellucidus (transparent blue-eye). RNAcentral's name for it is "partial 16S ribosomal RNA". The stretch from base 192 to 1038 matches the Rfam family "Bacterial large subunit ribosomal RNA", at positions 568 to 1969 of the family's 2925-position model. The record is from RNAcentral. Lineage: Eukaryota; Metazoa; Chordata; Actinopteri; Atheriniformes; Pseudomugilidae.